GAUGAACGCUGGCGGCGUGCUUAACACAUGCAAGUCGAACGAAGCAUUUAGGACAGAUUACUUCGGUUUGGAGUUCUUUAUGACUGAGUGGCGGACGGGUGAGUAACGCGUGGGUAACCUGCCUUGUACUGGGGGAUAGCAGCUGGAAACGGCUGGUAAUACCGCAUAAGCGCACAAUGUUUCAUGACAUGGUGUGAAAAACUCCGGUGGUAUAAGAUGGACCCGCGUCUGAUUAGCUAGUUGGUGAGAUAACAGCCCACCAAGGCGACGAUCAGUAGCCGAACUGGGAGGGUGACCGGCCACAUUGGGACUGAGACACGGCCGAGACUCCUACGGGAGGCAGCAGUGGGGAAUAUUGCAGAAAGGAGGAAACUCUGAUGCAGCGACGCCGGGUGAGUGAAGAAGUAAUUCGUGAUGUAAAGCUCUAUCAGCAGGGAAGAUAGUGACGGUACCUGACGAAGAAGCGCCGGCUAAAUACGUG
This 481-nucleotide ribosomal RNA is filed under the name uncultured bacterium. Its description in RNAcentral is "partial 16S ribosomal RNA". It matches the Rfam family "Bacterial small subunit ribosomal RNA", at positions 28 to 507 of the family's 1533-position model. The record is from RNAcentral.